AUUGAACGCUGGCGGCAGGCCUAACACAUGCAAGUCGAGCGGAAGAAGGGUGCUUGCUUCUGGUUUCAGCGGCGGAAGGGUGAGUAAUGCCUAGGAAUCUGCUUGGCUGUGGGGGGUAAUGUCCGGAAACGGGCGCUAAUACCGCAUACGACCUGCGGGAGAAAGUGGGGGAUCGUCGGACCUCACGCUAUCAGAUGAGUUUAGGUCCGAUUAGUUAGUUGGUGGGGUAAGGGCCUACCAAGGCGACGAUCCGUAACUGGUCUGUGUGGAUGAUCAGUCACACUGGAACUUGGACACGGACCAGACUCCUGCGGGAGGGCGCAGUGGGGAAUGUUGGGCAAUGGGCGGAAACCUUGUCCAGCCAGGCCACGUGUGAGGAAGGAGUCCUGGGAGUGUAAAGCACUUUAUGUGGGGAGAAAGCGCAGUAAGUUGAUACCUUGCGGGUUUGACGUUACCAACAAAAGAAGCACCGGCUAACUACGUG
This 484-nucleotide ribosomal RNA is filed under the name uncultured bacterium. RNAcentral's name for it is "partial 16S ribosomal RNA". It matches the Rfam family "Bacterial small subunit ribosomal RNA", at positions 30 to 507 of the family's 1533-position model. The record is from RNAcentral.